RNAcentral lists this transfer RNA (55 nucleotides) under Rhadinaea decorata. Its description in RNAcentral is "partial tRNA-Leu". The record is from RNAcentral. Lineage: Eukaryota; Metazoa; Chordata; Lepidosauria; Squamata; Dipsadidae.
UACAAAAGGAUAACAGUAUUUCCACGGGCUUAGGCACCACAAUUCUUGGGGCAAU